UCUUGGGAAUUCUGCUGUGGAGAAAUAUCAAAAUGUGAAAAGGUGGGCAGGAGGAGGCCAUGGCUAACACUUCAAUGAUUUAGAGAUCUCACAGGCCAAGGGUGGGUACUCCCUUGUGUGAUGACUGAUGUACCUCAUAAAUAUUCCAAAACAGUAGACUUUGGGGUUGCACUUCCCCCCAAAUUCCUUACCCUUUGUUCUGAGUCUUUCUGAACUUAGCAAAGUUGGUGCUGGGACAAAAGACACAGUGCCU
Phascolarctos cinereus (koala) is the source of this 253-nucleotide non-coding RNA. The record is from RefSeq and is a predicted model, not a curated record. NCBI's taxonomy places the organism in Eukaryota, Metazoa, Chordata, Mammalia, Diprotodontia, Phascolarctidae.